CGGGCUCCUUGGUGAUUCAUAAUAACUUAACGAAUCGCAUGGCCUUGUGCCGGCGAUGGUUCAUUCAAAUUUCUGCCCUAUCAACUUUCGAUGGUAGGAUAGUGGCCUACCAUGGUUUCAACGGGUAACGGGGAAUUAGGGUUCUAUUCCGGAGAGGGAGCCUGAGAAACGGCUACCACAUCCAAGGAAGGCAGCAGGCGCGCAAAUUACCCAAUCCCGACACGGGGAGGUAGUGACAAUAAAUACUGAUACAGGGCUCUUUUGGGUCUUGUAAUUGGAAUGAGUACAAUUUAAAUCCCUUAACGAGGAACAAUUGGAGGGCAAGUCUGGUGCCAGCAGCCGCGGUAAUUCCAGCUCCAAUAGCGUAUAUUAAAGUUGUUGCAGUUAAAAAGCUCGUAGUUGAACCUUGGGCCUGGCUGGCCGGUCCGCCUCACCGCGUGCACUGGUCCGGCCGGGCCUUUCCUUCUGGGGAGCCGCAUGCCCUUCACUGGGUGUGUCGGGGAACCAGGACUUUUACUUUGAAAAAAUUAGAGUGUUCAAAGCAGGCCUAUGCUCGAAUACAUUAGCAUGGAAUAAUAGAAUAGGACGUGUGGUUCUAUUUUGUUGGUUUCUAGGACCGCCGUAAUGAUUAAUAGGGAUAGUCGGGGGCAUCAGUAUUCCGUUGUCAGAGGUGAAAUUCUUGGAUUUACGGAAGACUAACUACUGCGAAAGCAUUUGCCAAGGAUGUUUUCAUUAAUCAGUGAACGAAAGUUAGGGGAUCGAAGACGAUCAGAUACCGUCGUAGUCUUAACCAUAAACUAUGCCGACUAGGGAUCGGGCGAUGUUAUCUUUUUGACUCGCUCGGCACCUUACGAGAAAUCAAAG
RNAcentral lists this ribosomal RNA (864 nucleotides) under Dicephalospora rufocornea. RNAcentral's name for it is "SSU rRNA". It matches the Rfam family "Eukaryotic small subunit ribosomal RNA", at positions 235 to 1103 of the family's 1831-position model. The record is from RNAcentral. Lineage: Eukaryota; Fungi; Ascomycota; Leotiomycetes; Helotiales; Helotiaceae.